Molecule: transfer RNA, 75 nt
Filed under: Sulfitobacter sp. R18_1
Lineage: Bacteria; Pseudomonadati; Pseudomonadota; Alphaproteobacteria; Rhodobacterales; Roseobacteraceae
Description: tRNA-Glu
Rfam family: tRNA
About the family: Transfer RNA (tRNA) molecules are approximately 80 nucleotides in length. Their secondary structure includes four short double-helical elements and three loops (D, anti-codon, and T loops).
Source: RNAcentral
GCACCCAUCGUCUAGCGGUUAGGACGCUGCCCUUUCAAGGCGGAAACACGGGUUCGAUCCCCGUUGGGUGUACCA